This 744-nucleotide ribosomal RNA is filed under the name Escherichia coli. RNAcentral's name for it is "bacterial LSU rRNA". It matches the Rfam family "Bacterial large subunit ribosomal RNA", at positions 1 to 779 of the family's 2925-position model. Lineage: Bacteria; Pseudomonadati; Pseudomonadota; Gammaproteobacteria; Enterobacterales; Enterobacteriaceae. The record is from RNAcentral.
GGGUUGUGAGGUUAAGCGACUAAGCGUACACGGUGGAUGCCCUGGCAGUCAGAGGCGAUGAAGGACGUGCUAAUCUGCGAUAAGCGUCGGUGAGGUGAUAUGAACCGUUAUAACCGGCGAUUUCCGAAUGGGGAAACCCAGUGUGUUUCGACACACUAUCAUUAACUGAAUCCAUAGGUUAAUGAGGCGAACCGGGGGAACUGAAACAUCUAAGUACCCCGAGGAAAAGAAAUCAACCGAGAUUCCCCCAGUAGCGGCGAGCGAACGGGGAGGAGCCCAGAGCCUGAAUCAGUGUGUGUGUUAGUGGAAGCGUCUGGAAAGGCGUGCGAUACAGGGUGACAGCCCCGUACACAAAAAUGCACAUAUUGUGAGCUCGAUGAGUAGGGCGGGACACGUGGUAUCCUGUCUGAAUAUGGGGGGACCAUCCUCCAAGGCUAAAUACUCCUGACUGACCGAUAGUGAACCAGUACCGUGAGGGAAAGGCGAAAAGAACCCCGGCGAGGGGAGUGAAAAAGAACCUGAAACCGUGUACGUACAAGCAGUGGGAGCCUCUUUAUGGGGUGACUGCGUACCUUUUGUAUAAUGGGUCAGCGACUUAUAUUCUGUAGCAAGGUUAACCGAAUAGGGGAGCCGAAGGGAAACCGAGUCUUAACUGGGCGUUAAGUUGCAGGGUAUAGACCCGAAACCCGGUGAUCUAGCCAUGGGCAGGUUGAAGGUUGGGUAACACUAACUGGAGGACCGAAC